UGGUUGACAAAAUGGGUGACAAAAUGGUUGACAAAAUGGGUGACAAAAUGGUUGACAAAAUGGGUGACAAAAUGGUUGACAAAAUGGGUGACAAAAUGGGUGAAAAAAUGGGUGAAAAAAUGGUUGACAAAAUGGGUGACAAAAUGGGUGACAAAAUGGUUGACAAAAUGGGUGACAAAAUGGUUGACAAAAAAAACGAAGCGGAAAAGCUAUUCCUCAAACGUGAACAGAAAAAACAAAAAAAAAACAACGCCAUAGAUAUUCUAGACAUUGAAAAAAUUAACAAAAUUAGUAAUGAAAAAUGCAAUAACAUAAUAAGCAUAAGUAGUUUUAAAAACAUUUAUAAUAACAAUUUAUUGGAUGAAGAUUUGUUAUUAAAAUUAUUAACAAAUGAUUUUUUGAGUAACCAGAAAGAUGUCCAAGAUGUUAUUAAUUAUAUAUUAAACGAUAAAUACAAAAAAUUAAAAAAUUUUGAAAGUAUAUUAUUAUUAUAUCCACAUUUUAAUGAUUAUCAAUUAAAAAAAAUAGCGGAACUUAUAUUAGAAAAAUAUAAUUCUGUUUUGUUUCAAAAUAUUAAUACAGAUGAUGAUUUUUAUGCUUUUAUAUUCAAAUUCUUUUCACUUUUAAAUAAUAAAAAUUUAAAAUUAUGUAGUGUUUGUUUGUCCAAAGCUAGUUAUACCGAAAAAAAAAAAGAGGAACAAAAGAAAAAAACAGGUGAAAGUGAUAUACCAAAUGAUUUGACAUUCUUAGAAACGGGUUCUGUUAGUAGUAGUAGUAGUAGUAGUAGUAAUAAUACUAGUAGUAAUAAUAGUAGUAAUGAUAAUAGUAGUAAUAGUAGUAAUAGUAGUAAUAGUAAUAGUAAACGCAAUAGUAAACGCAAUAGUAAACGCAAUAGUGGUAGGCAUAAAAUCCAUAUCGAUUCAACUAGUGUUACUACUAAUACACAUGCUGAUAUUAUGACCAAUGCAACUACUAUGCCAACACUUAGAAGUAGCAGAAUAAGAACAAUUAAUAAUUAUACAGAUUAUACAAAAGAUAAAAUGCUCACAAAAAAAGAAAGAAGACUAGGGUCCCUAAGUAUGUUAAAACAAUGUUCGAUAUGCAAUGUAUAUAUAUGUUACUUUUGUUGUCAUCGUAUGAAUAUAUACACAAUAAAAAAUUAUCUAACAGAUGAAUACACACGUGUUAAAUCUACUAAUUAUUUGACCAAACAAAAGAAAGCUACAGGAGGACGAAGUAAAAGUGGUGCUAUAUCUACUGCUGUUAUUCCUAGUGGUAUUAUUGACGAUUACCAUCAUGAUAAAAAUGGAAAAUCAAUCAAGAACAAAAGUAACUACACUAGUACAAAUACAAACACAAACACAAACACAAACACAAACACAAACACAAACACAAACACAAACAUUCUUCAGAAUAAUGAAAAAGAAAAAAAUGUAAAAAGUUUGUAUUAUGACCAGCUAGUUGAACAAAGCAACAUAAACGAAUAUGUAAAAAAACAAGAUGACACAAAUGGGAACACGUUCAACUUAUUAGGGCAACAUGUGACUGAUGCUUCAGCAUGUACAAAUACUAAUGUACAAGAAAAUAUAAAUAACGAUUUACAUAAGACUAAUUGUGAUAGCGCUAUUAAUAACAGUUGCUGUAACAUCCAACAAAAACAAACAGAUGGACCAAGUAUGGAUCCAAAAAAAACGGACAACACUUCCACGGGUAGUCUGUUGCAUCAUAACAAUAUCCUUGACAAUGGUCUUAACCAUGGUCUUAACAAAUUAAAAACUUACAAUACGAAAAAAACAAACAGUUAUAACAGAAUAAACACAUAUGUUGUCACUAUGGACACAGACGAUCAUAAUAAUGAAACAAAUGAAGCUGAGUUUAUAUGUCCAAGGUGUGAAUAUUUUAAAAUUAAAAAAAAAGUUGCUUGUUGCUCUUAUUGCCCAAGGUUAGAUGGUUUUUUAAAUUGUUUUGAAGAUAAAACAAAAAAAGAUUUAUUGUUUGGUCAUCCAAAAUGUUUAGAGUAUAUAAAUACUGCUUAUAGUAAAAAACAUAUUUUAAAUGAAAGCAAAAGUGGUAUUUUAAAAAAAGUAUGUAGUUAUUGCAGAAUAAGACAUGGUAUUGUUAUUACUUGUAGUAAUACAGAUUGUGACACUUCAUUUCAUAUAUCUUGUGGAAUUUUUCUUGGAUGUAAAAUGGAUAAUUUUUUUGGUAGGGUUGAUAUAUAUAAUCCUAAAAAAGGAUACUGCUUUAAACAUACUUUUCAAUAUUAUAAAAAAGUUAACGUAACUAAUUUUAUUAAUACAAAUAAGCUAUUUUUUUUUGAGUAUUUUCUGAAAGCACCAUUUAAUCAUUUAUAUAUUUAUUUACUAGGCACAUAUAUUUUUAAUUAUCUACAAAAAAAAUGUAUUAAGUAUUUAAUGAACCCAAUCAAAAUAGAUGAACCGCUCCAUAUGAAUUUCCUUUUUGAAAAAACACAAGUAAAUUUUGCAACCAAACGGAAUAUAACCACUUCUGUCAACGAAACCAAAAAAACGAAUAAACGAAAGCUUUAUGGUCACGCUGGAGUAUAUGACGAUACACAGGAUGUUCAUUUUGGUAUUACUACCCCUGUUACAGUUGCUACUACUACUACUACUGCUGCUGCUACCAAUACGUAUGAACAUAACAUUAGUAGCAAUAAUACACUAUCAAAUAAACAAACAAAAUAUGUAAAAGAUGGUACAACUACAAAUUUAAGCAUACCAUUAGAUAUUUCAAAAAAAGCAGGUUUAAAAAAUAAGUCAUUACUUUUGAAUUAUGAGAACAAAAUCGAUGAAACUGGGUUAGUAUAUAAUCAAAGUAAAAUUUCACAACCAGAAUCGACCGUACCAGCAGAAGCUUUACUUCAUAAAACUAAGGUAUCUGGAUUAGAAACAAACGGAUCCAUAGAUAUACAAGAUUUAAUAAAAAAUUACGACUCUAUAGGUAUGCACGACUCUAUGGGCAUACAUGAUGCAUCAAACCAUGAGAUGUUAUAUCUUGACGAUAAUGUAACAGAAAGUGCAGUAUCAGUAAUCUCUGAAAAUGAAUCUAAUGAAUUACGAGCUUUUCAAAAAAUGUCGUUUUUGAAUUCCAAAAGUUGCAACAGAAUAAAUAAAAUUAUAAAUAAUAGUUUUAAUCAAUAUAUAAAGAAAUUAUCAACAGAUACAUCUUGUGAUAAACAAAAUAACAACUACAUGUUGGAUCGUGACGCAGUUAUAGGAACUGAUUUAGGUACAGAGCGUUGGGGUAGCAUUAGUGUUAAUAAGAAUAGAAAUGCUGUGACGACAGACCUAGUGAAUACUCUUGCACGGACACGGGCACAAUCACAGUUACUACUGUUGCAGUCAGGUUCACAACUACAACAACAGAAACAGACACAAUCACCAUCACUUUUACAUGUACAGUCAUUGCCAAACUUACAACUACAUGAUGAAUCAAAUGUUCACAAUAAAUAUAACGAAUUAGAAAGCUCAAGAAAAAGAUAUAUAACACGGACUAGUAGUAAGAGUAGUAUAAUUGGUACUGAUAAUGACAAAAAAUUGAGCAGAAAAUCUUCAAAACGCUUGAAUAAUACACAUCAUAUAUAUGAUACUACUACUACUAUUACUAAUAAAAAUAAUAUCUUUAAUAAUAAUAUCGAAAGUAAUACAGAUACUACUUCAAAAAAAAGAAGAACGAGCAAAAGUAAAACACAUUAUUAUAUUAUAGAUAAUGAUUUGCAACAUAAAACUAGUAUUGAUAGUAAUUAUAGCAGUAGUAAUAACAAACACAGUUUAGCUAACUUUGAUAUACAUAACUUUGUUACACCUAAUAAACAAAAUACAUUUAAUUCAAAUAAUAGUUCGGUUUCUCAUAGUACGAAAAAAACACAACAUAAUCAUAAAAAUAGUUUUAACGAAUUAAUUAAACCGGGAGUUAUUAGUAAUGCUGCUGCUGCUGCAUCGGGCACGGCUAAUAAAGAAAAAUCGAAAUAUGUACGAAAGGGAGAGGACAACACACGAAAAGGAUAUGACAGCACACGAAAAGGAGAUGACAGCACAAAAAAAAAAGAACGCAGAACAAAGAAAAAUGCACACUCACAAAAAAAACAAACAUCAAAUACAAUAGAACAACAUAAACAAGUAGAAGAAGAUGAAAUAUUCUGCCCAAUAUGUAAAUCAGUUUAUCAGGAACUAAGUGAUGGUUCACCAGGGGAUGGACUUAAUUGGAUUGGUUGUGAUAAAUGUGAACGA
This 4250-nucleotide long non-coding RNA is filed under the name Piliocolobus tephrosceles (Ugandan red Colobus). Its description in RNAcentral is "lncRNA (ENSPTEG00000002586.1)". Lineage: Eukaryota; Metazoa; Chordata; Mammalia; Primates; Cercopithecidae. The record is from RNAcentral.